GGACUACUGGGGUUUCUAAUCCUGUUUGCUCCCCACGCUUUCGCGCCUCAGCGUCAGUAUUGGUCCAGAAAGUCGCCUUCGCCACUGGUGUUCCUUCCGGUAUCUACGCAUUUCACCGCUACACCGGAAAUUCCACUUUCCUCUACCAUACUCUAGUUGUGCAGUAUCAAAUGCAGUUCCCAGGUUAAGCCCGGGUCUUUCACAUCUGACUUACAUAACCGCCUACGCGCUCUUUACGCCCAGUAAUUCCGAUUAACGCUCGCACCCUCUGUAUUACCGCGGCGGCUGGCAC
RNAcentral lists this ribosomal RNA (292 nucleotides) under uncultured bacterium. RNAcentral's name for it is "partial 16S ribosomal RNA". The record is from RNAcentral. RNAcentral also lists the same sequence under 1 other name.